UUCUGCUCAGAGCAAACCCUGGGAAACUGGGGGACGCAGAGCCACGGGACUAAAUCGGGAAAUCCCUGUAUGUCAGCCGAGCCGCCAGA
Molecule: non-coding RNA, 89 nt
Filed under: Acidobacteriota bacterium
Lineage: Bacteria; Pseudomonadati; Acidobacteriota
Description: Acidobacteria bacterium c-di-GMP sequence
Rfam family: c-di-GMP-I riboswitch aptamer
About the family: GEMM was predicted in a large-scale screen for bacterial structured RNA regulatory elements. Genes associated with GEMM are involved in a diverse array of functions, including chemotaxis regulation, signal transduction, secretion and chitin.
Source: RNAcentral